RNAcentral lists this ribosomal RNA (420 nucleotides) under Triticum aestivum (bread wheat). RNAcentral's name for it is "partial small subunit ribosomal RNA". Lineage: Eukaryota; Viridiplantae; Streptophyta; Magnoliopsida; Poales; Poaceae. The record is from RNAcentral.
AUGUGCUGGCUCGUCCUCAUCAUCUCUCCGCAGCGCCAACGCCAGAAACCACCGCGCUCGCCGCAGCUCCAGGCCUCCAACGUCGAGGCGAUCGACCGGUCUGACGACCUGUUCUUAAACUUCUUAUUCAUCGCCAUGGCAUGGAGGAAGAAGAACGGCGGCGAGUCGUUGUCCCCCGGCGCCUCGCCGUGCCGCGACGACGAGCGGGAGAAGGUCCCGAGAGGGCACGUCCCGAUGGUCACCGGCUGCGGCGCGCGCGUGGUGGUGCCGGUGAGGCUGCUCCGGGAGCCAUGCAUCGCGGAGCUGCUUGACAUGGCGGCGCAGCAGUACGGGUAUGGCCAGCCGGGCGUGCUGCGUAUCCCGUGCGACGCCGGACAUUUCCGCCGGGUCGUCGACGGUGCGCUGCACAGAGCCGACUAG